This 465-nucleotide ribosomal RNA is filed under the name Vreelandella stevensii. RNAcentral describes it as "partial 16S ribosomal RNA". It matches the Rfam family "Bacterial small subunit ribosomal RNA", at positions 338 to 795 of the family's 1533-position model. The record is from RNAcentral. Lineage: Bacteria; Pseudomonadati; Pseudomonadota; Gammaproteobacteria; Oceanospirillales; Halomonadaceae.
CCUACGGGAGGCAGCAGUGGGGAAUAUUGGACAAUGGGGGGAACCCUGAUCCAGCCAUGCCGCGUGUGUGAAGAAGGCCCUCGGGUUGUAAAGCACUUUCAGUGAGGAAGAACGCCUGGUGGUUAAUACCCAUCAGGAAAGACAUCACUCACAGAAGAAGCACCGGCUAACUCCGUGCCAGCAGCCGCGGUAAUACGGAGGGUGCGAGCGUUAAUCGGAAUUACUGGGCGUAAAGCGCGCGUAGGUGGCUUGGUAAGCCGGUUGUGAAAGCCCCGGGCUCAACCUGGGAACGGCAUCCGGAACUGUCAAGCUAGAGUGCAGGAGAGGAAGGUAGAAUUCCCGGUGUAGCGGUGAAAUGCGUAGAGAUCGGGAGGAAUACCAGUGGCGAAGGCGGCCUUCUGGACUGACACUGACACUGAGGUGCGAAAGCGUGGGUAGCAAACAGGAUUAGAUACCCCGGUAGUC